CCUCAAUCUGCAGUUUGAUGAAUUCCCUGACGAGGAAUCACGAAAGCCACUCGUGAUUCCUCGUCAGGGAAUUCAUCAAACUGCAGAUUGAGG
Molecule: non-coding RNA, 93 nt
Organism: Podarcis lilfordi (Lilford's wall lizard)
Lineage: Eukaryota; Metazoa; Chordata; Lepidosauria; Squamata; Lacertidae
Source: the annotation of a GenBank genome assembly